UGACCUCUCCUGCUUCUCCUUCAUGAGGGCAUUUUCCUUGUCCACAGAAAUGGGUCAGAUGUCAUUCAAUGCCUGCCUGACCGGGCCUCACAGGAGACCUGCUGGAUGGAGGAGAAGUUUGGAAGAUUCCAAAUGUGUACUCCACCUGUCAUCUGCCAAGAAUGCAGGUAUUUCUUGGAAUAAAAAGGAGACCCAUUGCUGGACCAUACAUCUCUUACUGGCUACUACUUCAGCUACAAUCAACUCACAGGGUAAAGUUAUGAAAUGCAAGUCCAUGGAUGAUAACUAAAUGGGAG
This 296-nucleotide long non-coding RNA is filed under the name Aotus nancymaae (Ma's night monkey). RNAcentral describes it as "lncRNA (ENSANAG00000039003.1)". Lineage: Eukaryota; Metazoa; Chordata; Mammalia; Primates; Aotidae. The record is from RNAcentral.